RNAcentral lists this ribosomal RNA (167 nucleotides) under uncultured Actinomycetes bacterium. Its description in RNAcentral is "uncultured actinobacterium partial 16S ribosomal RNA". It matches the Rfam family "Bacterial small subunit ribosomal RNA", at positions 1164 to 1330 of the family's 1533-position model. The record is from RNAcentral. Lineage: Bacteria; Bacillati; Actinomycetota; Actinomycetes.
CGGAGGAAGGUGGGGAUGACGUCAAGUCAUCAUGCCCCUUAUGUCCAGGGCUUCACACAUGCUACAAUGGCCUAUACAGAGGGCUGCGAGACCGUGAGGUGGAGCGAAUCCCUUAAAGUAGGUCUCAGUUCGGAUCGGGGUCUGCAACUCGACCCCGUGAAGUUGGA